AAAAUUUGGCUGUGAAUCCAUCUGGUCCUGGACUUUUUUUGGGCUGGAAUGGGAGGAGCAGCCAAGAGAUUUCAUCAGCCACAGUGUGCAUGAUGGAUGAGAACACGGGACACAUACCAGUGAAGGGCAGAAAAUGUUACUUAUCGACACUGGACUAAAAAAAGACUGUGCGUAACCCAUAGAUAAGCCAACUCUUAUUGUGAUAAAACAUCAGACAAAUCCAAAUUGAGAACAUUCUACAAAAUACCUGACCAGCACUCCUGAAAACUACCAAGCCUCUCAAUCCAUGGAUGUUCUUUUACUUGGUCAUCCUCACCCCAUGGUUCAAGGGUAUAUGACUUAUUAAGAGUGAAAAUGAGAAGAGGAGGUGGAGCAAGAUGGUCAAAUAGAACCAUUCACUGAUCAUCCUCCCUGCAGGAACACCAAAUUGAAAAACUAUCUACAUAAUAAAGCACCUUCAUAAGAAGCAAAAAUCAGGCAACAGAAUCAUAUGGAAGUGUGUGCAAGGUAUUUGUCAAAGCCUUGAAGACAGGGGCCCUAACCAGUACAUGGAGGAACUAUACUGCUGGGAAUACUCUGAUAAGAGUUGGACAGAGUCUCUGCCUUCAUUUAGUGUGUACACUUUAUAAAUAAACUUUUUAAAAAGAUGACUACUGAAUGGAGUCCAUUUAUUUAAAAAUGAACCAGACACAGCCCUGGACAGAAACUUCCUGAUGAGAUACAUGAAAAUUCUGAAAUACAAAACAUAAUGAAUUGUAAACAUCUUUCUAUCCACGAAAGAUGGUCAUGAAUAUUUUCAGAGUUCCCCCAUGGAGAAGACUGCAAAAGCUGUUUUGAUACUUGACUUUCCUUGCCUGCUUUAUCACAUUUGAGAAACUACAAAUGGAGUCAAAUAAUCUCAUUUGGAGUCGGCUGAGUAAAUCCAGUAAUCCUCUAAUAAUAGCGACCUCAGGAUUAAUUUAAAAUAUAGACAAAUAACUCACCUAAAAAUAUCACCUCUGACUGAAUAAUAUCAAUCAGGAGUAUUUUACAAUAUAGACAACUCACCUAAAAAUAUCACGUUUGACUGAAUAUACCUUUGAUUUUUCAAUGUAGUAUCCUGAAGAUAUAUUUGGUGUAACAGCUCUUCAACAAAUAUUUAUAGUGUCAGGCAGUGUUCUAGGAGUUGUGACACAGUUGAGAACAAAAUAAACAAGUCUCUGCUUUCAUAAUGUAUACAAACGGUAAUAAGCAUUAAGAAAGAGAAGAAAAAGGAGGCAGGAAAUAGGCAUAGAGUGAGAUUAUAGUGAUAUUUUAUAUAAGGCAGUAAAGGUGGACCUUUUUGAUUUGAGAUACCUAUUUGUGCACAGACAAAUGAGGAAGCAGAAGCUGUGUGGCUAUCUAGGAGAAGAGAGUUUUCAGGCAGAAAGAAUGGGAAGUACAAAGGAUGAGGAACAUUAAGGAGACAGUGGGGCUGGAGUAGAGAGAGUGGUGGCAGAAAUUAGGAUCAGAGAGAUAAGACAUUGGAUUGUACUUUUUAAGGUAAAAAUUUACAUUUAAUAAAAUGCACAUAUCUUAAAGUACACAAGUAAAAUGUAGAAUAUUUCCAUCACCCUACAAAAUUCUCCUGUGACCCCUUCCAAUUAAUCUAAUUGCCCCACAGGUGACCACUGUUCUGUUUUUUUUUUUAAUCACCAUAGAUUCAUUUUAUCUAUUUUGAACUCCAUAUGA
RNAcentral lists this long non-coding RNA (1710 nucleotides) under Homo sapiens (human). RNAcentral describes it as "HSALNT0329421". The record is from RNAcentral. Lineage: Eukaryota; Metazoa; Chordata; Mammalia; Primates; Hominidae.